Long non-coding RNA from Felis catus (domestic cat), 4145 nucleotides. RefSeq lists it as uncharacterized. The record is from RefSeq and is a predicted model, not a curated record. NCBI's taxonomy places the organism in Eukaryota, Metazoa, Chordata, Mammalia, Carnivora, Felidae. The transcript has 5 exons.
GACCCGAGACUGGGGGCAACUAUAUUAGUCCAAUCUCGGGUUUGAGAAGGUGGGACGUACUGGCCACCGCUCAAAUCCCGGGAGAACCUUCUGGAACCUGUGUAAUGUCAAAGGCAGCCUUAAAGGAAAACUGCUUACCAGUUGGCGAAACAGUUCGGAUACCCAUGAGUUCACACAAUCUGGAUAGAGCUGGAAACUGAGGCUUGGAGAACACCAGUACCAGAGCAGAGCAGGAGAGAGAUCUAAGGGGUCCUGAGGUCAGGUCUGCAUAGUCUCCAUUAUCUGCCUUCCUUCUAGUACUCACCAUGGCGGUCCCAGGUGUAAAGGGGUGUGAGCUGUGAAGAAAGGAAGUGGGGUAAGAGGAGGAUGGAGAAGAGGUGACAUGAGGGGAAUGAGAGAAGGGAGGGAAGAUGGGGUGAGGGGGAUGGGAAGAGGAGGGGAAGAGAGAUAGGGUGGGAGGUAAGGAAGGGGGAUGAGAAGGGAAGGAGUAGUGGGGAACAAAGACUAGAAGGGAGGGGAGAUGGGAUGAUGAGGGAAUGGAACAGUGUGACAAGGAGGUGGGCAUGGUACAGUGAGGGGGCCCAGGACUGGUGCUGGCUCCUUAGAUCCGGGGGCUCUUACUCCCCCACCUCCAGACUCAUGGGGGCCUGGGCUGUGGGUGGCUCUACUUCUUAUUCCAGUUCUAUUUUGCCUCCUCCAGCCUUGCCUGUGCCAACACGGAGGCAGAGUUUAGUCACUGGGCCUUACCUGGUCCCUGCUGACGCUAUGUUGUGGGCUUAGACCUUGGGGCGGGGUGUGGGGGGGUUGUAGCACCUAUGCCUUCAGGUGCUGAUGACAUGGACCCCAUUGUUUGCUGGGUUCUCUAUGGCCACCCUGUGUCCUGUUGCCCUAAGUAUCAGGUGUGUGUUAGGAAGCCGGGUGUACAGUGUGCCAUAGGUGUAAGAAUGUAGGCUAUGUUGACCUUGUGAGUUGACUUGCCACAUCUGUGCCUCAUUUCCUUCUUUGUAUAAUGGGUAUAGAAAACGGGUAUAGUACCUCACUGAGUUGUUGUGAAGGUUAAUUAAGGUAACAUAUGCAUCUAGUUCUGCACUUGGUAUGUAGUUAAUGCUCAGCAAAGUUAACUGUUACUCUCUAUAUUCACAGAUGUCUGGAUGUGUGAGUGCAUCUGUUUGAUGUUUGAGUCUGAUUGGGAGUUAUUGUUGUAUCUGUAAUGUGAUUUGUAAGUGAGAAUAUAUCUGUGCAAUAUUUUUGUGUGGUAGUGUGCCUGAUUCUGUAUUAUUUGCUGUGUAUGUGAUUUUGUGUUAGUAUACAUAUGUGACUAAAUGACUGUGUAGGUCUGUGUCGACAUGACAAACAGCUUCGUGGAUGUUGACAUGUUGACAUCAUGUCUGCCCAGUGUAUGCAUGAAUCUGUGAUCGUGUCAGUUCUGAACACUUGCAUUCACCCUCCCUCCUUAUGGAGACGUCAUAACCCUAGGUGUCCCUCAUUUUCUCACCCUGAGGGAACCGGAACCCCGGGGGCUGGGGUGGAGGUGGGUGCCACUAAGGAGGUGUUUAGACAGGAGCACAUGUUCCCUCCCAGACUGUGUAUGGGAGGGGAGCCUCCUAUCUUGCACAUAUCCUGAAGACUUCAGAGGAAGUGCUCCCCCACCUAGCCCAUUCUUAGUUCCCUGUCUUGUUGCCAUGGCAGCCGUUGCCAGGGGCUCCCAUGGUUGCUAAGAUCUGGGUGUGGGAGGCUGCCAGGCCCUGUUGCCAGUAGAAACAGAGAAUCCGGGGGAAAGCAAGACUACCCCCACAGCUGCCAGCUCUCUGCAGUGACAGGACUGGUCCUUGGACCUCUCCUGUCCCCAGAUUGUACCUAUGAUUUGUAUGUGGUAAUUCUAUUGUUAGUGAGGAGGCUUUCACAGGAAGUUGGAACUGGAAUACUGGGAUCUACCUUCUGAAGAGACCGUGACUCUAGCAUGCCCAUUACCAUCUUUAAGGUCACGACCGAGAGUUGUAGGUACAACAGUUGGUCUAUGAAGUUAACUAAAGAAAUUAAGUUUCCCGACCCAGUUAUUCUAAUGUUCUAUGGUCAUAUGGGUCUCUACAAUCUUGAAUAUGCCUCCAGCUCAGCUGGACUUAGGGCUGGGCAUUCACCAGAAGGUGCUUAACCAUUUGUAGGCAUCACAAGUCUCAAGAGGACGGGAUGCCUGGUAAGUAUCCCACCCCCAACUCAACAGUUUUGUCACAUGGUUAUACAGCUUCACUACCUUCCCUGGUAUCUAGUUACCUUUUCGUGCUAUUGAGGAGAAGUCUGCCUCUCCUCCACCUUUGGUCUUAGCUUUGUCCUUGAGGUCACAUUGACCUCAUCAGUCCCACCUGCCAGACAUCAGCCAUCUACAUUACCUCAACCCUGUUUCUCUCCAGGGUGAGACACCUCUCAGGCCUUCAUGGUUUCCUCUUUUGUCUUGCUUCAUUCCAGCUCCCAAAACUAUGCUCCCCUGGCUGGGUUUCAGUUCAUAGUGCCUGGCUCUGAUUAGCUUUUUCCAGGAGUGCUGGUACAGUGUACAAAUGAGCCAGCCUGCCUUCCACUUCUGACUCUGAACUUCUUUCUACAUAGCCUCAUGUUACAUCAGUUUUUUUUUUUCUGUAGCUACCUCAUACUGUUCACCCAUAUCAAGUGAAGACUACAACCUCCUCUUCCUGAGCUGCUGGAUCACAUCUUGCCCAUUUGUACGAUUGCCCAAAUGUUACAAUUUUGAAAGGAGUGUUACAUUUAUUUUUAAAAAACAAAGAUACUUGAAAUAAAUGAAACAAACAUUUUUUCAGUACCUUCUGCAUUUUAGGACAAGCCUCAGGCUUGGAAAUCUCUGCAUUUAUGUUUACUUAAAGAUGGUACAGGAGGGGCUGAAGUGCUUGCUGCAUGAAGCAGCACAUGUGCUAAAAUUGGAACCAUACAGAGAAGAUGAGUAUGGCCCCUGCACAAAGAUGACAUGCAAAUUCAUGAAGCUUCCAUAUUUUUGGUUUUGAUGAAUGUUGAAAUGUAAUAAUGUAAAGUGAAUGUAUAUAUGAAUAAAUUAGUAUAUUACCAAAAAAGAAACAACAAAAACAAAAAAAAAGAGGGACUGAAGAUCCCCAGCUGGCUCGACUAUGACUUCAGCACUGUGGACAGAGGCCAUUAGCCGUACCCCUGGCUAUGCCUGUGAUUGUGGGUGGGUGGAAGAUGAUACACACACAGAUUUUAGAUGGGGCCAGAAAUCCUUGCUGCUCACUUAGUGCCUUAUAGUGUAUAAAGCUCUUUCCUCUCACCAAAUUCAUUCUUGUCUUCACUCAAUUAUCAGCCCAGGAGACAGGACAGGAAUUGUUUCCCAGACUUUUGCAGAUAAGGAAACUCAAGUUCAGCAAGGUCAAACUCCAAGCAACACUUUAGGUGGGGUGGGAAAGAGAACACUAUUCCAUGCUUAGCAAAUUUGGCAGCUACUGUUUCCCCUUUGAAGAAUGACUUUCUUAGAGAUGAUAGGAGUGCACUUGAGCCAAAGCAGGGCAGUGUGAGUGGAAGUUUGUGUGGAGCCAAGGGUCCAGCAAGCCAUGAGAACAAGUGGCAGUUGGGAGGGGGAACAGUCCUUAGAGGGCCUAAAGUUCAUCAGGAUUGUUGUACUGAGGGUGGGGAAACCUUGCUUUUCAUUAGGGUCCACAGAGGCCCUGCUUUUAUGUUUCUUUUUCUGUCCUAAUGCUUGCCUUCACUGAACUUGAGACAGAAGAAGGGACCCUUAAGAUCUCAAGCUGUCUCUGAGCCCGAUAGACCUCCAUUUGAAAACUCCAGGGAGGAGAGUUUCCAUAUUUUACAUAAUAACUCUCAUAAAUACUCAAAUCCCUCCAAAAGAGAAGAGGCAAUAAGGAAGUGCUAAAUACCCCAGAGAGGUCAAGUAAGAAGAUACCUGAGAAAAAGUCACUAGACUUGACAAUUAGGUCACUGGUGACUUAAGAAAGAAACAAUUCAGCAGAAUGAUGGAUGCAGAAGCUGAAUUAUAGGCAGUAGGAAGAAGAGGGGGGGAUCUGCUGAGAUGCUCCUUAUUCUGAAAUCCGUGAAUAAUGAAGACACCUGCAGGAUAACAGAUCAAUAAAGCAAGAGUUAAACUCUAUUCAGAUGUGCUGAGAAAUGGA